ACGGCUCAGUAACACGUGGGUAACCUGCCUCAAAGAGGGGGAUAGCCUCCCGAAAGGGAGAUUAAUACCGCAUAACAUUAGUUUUUCGCAUGGGAAACUAAUUAAAGGAGUAAUCCGCUUUGAGAUGGACCCGCGGCGCAUUAGCUAGUUGGUGAGGUAACGGCUCACCAAGGCGACGAUGCGUAGCCGACCUGAGAGGGUGAUCGGCCACAUUGGAACUGAGACACGGUCCAGACUCCUACGGGGGGCAGCAGUGGGGAAUAUUGCACAAUGGGCGAAAGCCUGAUGCAGCAACGCCGCGUGAGUGAUGAAGGCCUUCGGGUUGUAAAGCUCUGUCUUUUGGGACGAUAAUGACGGUACCAAAGGAGGAAGCCACGGCUAACUACGUGCCAGCAGCCGCGGUAAUACGUAGGUGGCAAGCGUUGUCCGGAUUUACUGGGCGUAAAGGAUGCGUAGGCGGACUUUUAAGUGAGAUGUGAAAACCCCGGGCUCAACUUGGGGACUGCAUUUCAAACUGGAAGUCUAGAGUGCGGGAGAGGAAAGUGGAAUUCCUAGUGUAGCGGUGAAAUGCGUAGAGAUUAGGAAGAACACCAGUGGCGAAGGCGACUUUCUGGACCGUAACUGACGCUGAGGCAUGAAAGCGUGGGUAGCAAACAGGAUUAGAUACCCUGGUAGUCCACGCCGUAAACGAUGAGUACUAGGUGUAGGAGGUAUCGACCCCUUCUGUGCCGCAGUUAACACAAUAAGUACUCCGCCUGGGAAGUACGAUCGCAAGAUUAAAACUCAAAGGAAUUGGCGGGGGAGCAC
This 807-nucleotide ribosomal RNA is filed under the name uncultured archaeon. RNAcentral describes it as "bacterial SSU rRNA". It matches the Rfam family "Bacterial small subunit ribosomal RNA", at positions 102 to 924 of the family's 1533-position model. The record is from RNAcentral.